GUUGUCGAACAGCACCGCAAUUGGCCAACAAAAUUAAUCAUUCAACAACAAAGGCACUGGAGUAGAGAGUAAAGAUCUGUGCCUACGUACAACAUUUGUGGGCUGCAUGUCAAUAGCAGUUUUGAUCGGAUGCUCAAUCAAGUCCAGGAUUGAUCAAUUCCCACCCUGAGCAUUCAGGCUCACAUUCAUACCUUGAAAGUACUGAAUUAAUCUAACGUGCACAUAUUUUGGAAUGUUGGAGCGACAUGGGGGAGGACUCGAACCCUGAACCCAAGAGCUGCGAGGCAGAGAUGCUACUUUGUCGGUCAUCGAGCUGCCCCAUUUCAAAUUCAUUAAAAAAAAAAAAAAUCUCAUCAAAGUAGACGCUGUUCCAACUGCUAAGAGGCGACCAUUUUCACUUGUUGUCAUGAUCACGUGUCCCAAUACCUUUGUUCAUUUUAUGCUCACGUCAACCUCUAAGCAGGAAGCAGCUACAUGUAUGGAGAGGUAUGUCCAAAAAGAAAAGGCCACUUUGUCGCACUCCCAACAAAAAAAAAAGCAAACAAGACAGCAAUUGGACCUCACACAUAGACAAGCCUGAGCAUGUAGGCAAAAACAGCAAUUGCAAUUUCAUGCGUGCAUGUCCCGGCAGUGCGUGAGCGUUUCUGUGUGUUCGUGUGGGUGUGUGUAAUUACAAGUGGGUGUGUUUGGUGACAGGCUUAGGCACACGCUGAAACAGCUGAUCGGAGAACAUGCACGCAACUUGCUCAUGACAUGACAGUGGACCCUGCAAGAUCGCGAAAGCCCGCAAUGAUGAUGUCAAAACUACUCGGGGCCGAGUGGGCUCACAAAGACCUUCCGAACGCGCCUUCUUGCUACCCAAUAGCACCAUCAUUCCCACGAUGUCAUGCCUCCUCCAGUAGAGAAGGCUCGAGCGAGAUUUGCCGUACUUAUUUGAAGCAGUGGAAGAGGCAGUGGAGGUGGAAGUGCUGCUUCCUUGAUCUUGCUCAGCAGCGGUUGCACGGGCAGCGAAUGGUUGAGGUGGCAAGUGUUCUUUCUGCCAAGUGCACAGCCUCCUCUACGGUGCUUGUGAAACACAAAUCAAUGAAGUAAGCAACGAAAAUCACCUUCUUGACUUUCUCUGAAGUGGUACGGGGUUGCAGAUCAUCCAUGAUUGUUUUUUUUUUCCCCAUUUAUCAGGAAAUCGUCUUCCUCCACCUUGUUCAGUAGGCCAAUGAUGUCCUUUUUCCUCUGCUUCCAAGAUGACAGUUUGGCAUUUGCUUCAGAGCCUAUAGUCGAUUUGCGAAGACAUUUAGGGGCCGCGGAAGUUGGCAAACCCUCUCCAAAGUAUGCAAGUUACUGUCUUUUGAAAUGAGAUGCCAUCAGACGCACAGCGUAACAGAACUGCACAACAGGCCCGCUGCUGUUUGAGAAAUCUCUCAAUCAUUCUGUCAGUGGAAGCCCAUCUCAUCACGACAUCAUGACAAACUGAAUGUUAACAAGUGUUCAGGAUUGACGGAUUCUUCCUCAAUUCUCUCCUCCUUUUGUAGCUGCGAGAGAAGCCCUGCAAAAGAUGCCAAAGAGUGAAAUAUUUGAAUUUGGGGCACUUUGCUACAGCUCAGUUUGGAUUCUGGCCAAAAUUAAUUUUCACCAACCAAUGUGACUCUGCUUUAGGCAUUGUUUGCAUUCAGCUGUGGUUCACUCAAAACACUCACAAGCAAUUGUCCCACUGAUGUGAUCAAGUUUGGCAUGGACUGUAAUGAUUAAGUGGGUCCAGCUACUGACUCUGAGUGCUUUUGAAAGGACAUCAGCAGCAUCCUGUCCCUUCCCCGUCCGAUGAUUUUACCCUGUUGUCCUUCCCUGCUAUCUGCUGACCCGGACGGGGCGAUUUCCUUCUUUCCAUUUGUUCCACCAUCACAUGAACUCAUGGCGGUGGAAUGCACUGUGGCUAAAACAUGACUUUUUAUCUCCUUUUCCUUAUUUGAAAGAAAAAAAAAAAAACUUUUUUUUUUAAAUCACCAUAACGGGACAGUUUUUUUUUUUUAAAUAAAGGUGACAUUCCCCCAUGAUUUAUGAAGACACU
This is a long non-coding RNA of Hippocampus comes (tiger tail seahorse), 2062 nucleotides long. RefSeq lists it as uncharacterized. The transcript has 2 exons. Lineage: Eukaryota; Metazoa; Chordata; Actinopteri; Syngnathiformes; Syngnathidae. The record is from RefSeq and is a predicted model, not a curated record.